AUUUUCUUAGUAUAACUAGUACAGAUGACUUCCAAUCACCUAGUCUUGGUUAAACCCCCGAGAGAAAAUA
RNAcentral lists this transfer RNA (70 nucleotides) under Pelophylax kurtmuelleri (Balkan frog). RNAcentral describes it as "tRNA-Gly". Lineage: Eukaryota; Metazoa; Chordata; Amphibia; Anura; Ranidae. The record is from RNAcentral.